UUCUGCAACAUAUCCAGUUCUUAAAUCGCAUUUAGCGAGCUAGCGUUCACACGGGACAGCCAAACAUAUGAAGAAACUCUUAUAUCUCCCGAUACAGUUGAAAACUCACUUUCAUUGCAAACUAAAGGAGGACAAGAUAAAGGAUCAAAUCAGAAAGUGUCAUUCCUUCUUGAAGAUCAUCAAGAUGGAGCAAGCCACAGCUAUUGCCAAAUAAUUACGUAGAAAGAAUAUGAUCAUCACUACAAAUGCCGAAGCUUUGGUGACAUAAACUGGCGGAGUCGACACAUUGCCAAAUAAUUACGUAAAUAGCUCCCACCAAGGUCGGGAUCC
This 330-nucleotide long non-coding RNA is filed under the name Eucalyptus grandis. RNAcentral's name for it is "long non-coding RNA (EGRA_LNC005862)". The record is from RNAcentral. Lineage: Eukaryota; Viridiplantae; Streptophyta; Magnoliopsida; Myrtales; Myrtaceae.